Long non-coding RNA from Alligator mississippiensis (American alligator), 1301 nucleotides. RefSeq lists it as uncharacterized. Lineage: Eukaryota; Metazoa; Chordata; Crocodylia; Alligatoridae. The transcript has 3 exons. The record is from RefSeq and is a predicted model, not a curated record.
UAAAGGAAUCUAACGUACAUAGAAGAAAGUGGGGGAAGUGUUUAGUGGAUCAGAUGCUUAAUGUAACCUUGAACUCUGGAUCUUCCAGGGCCUGCUGGUGCUGAGGACAAGCUUGCAGGGGCAUUUACCAAUUUGCAGUCGCACAGAGUUUCUAAGUAUCCUAAGUCUUAAACAUGCACAUUUCAAGCUCAUUCAUCAAUCUGACACCCAAUUCAAUUGCUGAGACUGUGCCUUCAAACCACAGCUGGGAGGGGGCAGAACUCGGUCAUCCUGACAAGAGCCCUGGGCCAUACUACCACUCUACGGCUCCUGCAGUACAGCUGUGAUGCAAAAAAGCUGGUAUUAGUCUGUGAGAUGGAACGACUUGAAUACUCUCUCCAAACCCAACCAGAGUUAGCUGAUGUAGGGAGAUAAGAGUGAGACAUUUUUUGUCCAUAACACCCAUGCCUAGAGAAAUGAGACAGGAAUGCUCUGUAGUAAGUGGUAUAGUGUAUUGUCUCUCUGUACAGGGGAACAAGGAGAGAGCACUCUGCUAAACCUGUUACCCAACAUGCUGAUGUAGAUGUUAUAUUCCCAGCAGAAUUGGACUGCAUGUAUAUGAGAGCAUUCCCUAUGUUUUUGCUGUUUCAGUGAUCAGUUAUAUUCUGCUGAAGUCCCCUUUGCAGUGUUUGCAUGAAUAAGAAUGGACGAGGGGUUGCCAUGGAAAUCCAGCACGUGUUUAAAGGGUGUGACCUUCUAAACAUUUGGUUUCUGUAAAUGUUUAGAGAAAUGGGAAAAAUCUGAAGCCAGGGUUUUAGAUUGUGCUGAUGCUGUUCAAGAAGCAUGUGUGUGACAUCCUCUGAGUCACUGUGUGUUGUCACAUUUGGGCUACUUGUUCUUGCUAGAUGCUGCAUUACAGAACCUCGCACCCUAACAGUCAGCAAAGCUAGACUUGCAAAGGGCACCAUGAUGGUCUGGAUCUCAAGAACAAUGACUCAGAUUUGGCAUUCUUGGAGUGAUGGUAGUGCCCACCAUGGGUCCUAUGCACAAGUGCUCAUCCACCUUAACAGGAAACGGAAGAACAUCUCUCCCAGAGUACUUUAUCUUGGGUAGUGUUACAACAGGAAGCACUUAUUCUGAGACAAGCUCCCCCACUAACGUUGACAGCAACAUUAUUUCAAGGACCUAUUGCCAAGAAGGAUUCCUAGGAAACUUGUUGUCCCUGCCAAUCCACAGAGGGGGAAAAGAAAUUCUGGCUUCCUUUCUCCAUUCCACUCUGGGGAAAAAAAAAUAAGAAGAAUAAAAUCUGUCAUUGACCUUUC